GACGAACGCUGGCGGCGUGCUUAACACAUGCGAGUCGAACGGAAAGGCCCCUUUGGGGGUACUCGAGUGGCGAACGGGUGAGUAACACGUGAGUAACCUGCCCUUGACUUCGGGAUAACUUCAGGAAACUGGGGCUAAUACCGGAUAGGAAUCCUUGCUGCAUGGUGGGGGUUGGAAAGCUUCGGCGGUUUUGGAUGGACUCGCGGCUUAUCAGCUUGUUGGUGGGGUAGUGGCUUACCAAGGCUUUGACGGGUAGCCGGCCUGAGAGGGCGACCGGCCACAGUGGGACUGAGAGUCGGCCCAGACUCCUACGGGAGGCAGCAGUGGGGAAUAUUGCACAAUGGGCGGAAGCCUGAUGCAGCAACGCCGCGGGCGGGAUGACGGCCUUCGGGUUGUAAACCGCUUUCAGCAGGGGCGAAGCUUGUGGUGACGGUACCUGCAGAAGAAGCACCGGCUAACUACGUG
This 465-nucleotide ribosomal RNA is filed under the name uncultured bacterium. RNAcentral's name for it is "partial 16S ribosomal RNA". It matches the Rfam family "Bacterial small subunit ribosomal RNA", at positions 28 to 507 of the family's 1533-position model. The record is from RNAcentral.